GCCGCCGACUGCGGAGGUGUUCCGUGUCCCCGAGCUGGAGCCGACUACGGAGGUGUUCCGUGUCCCCGAGCUGGAGCCGACUACGGAGGUGUUCCCUGUCCCCGAGCUGGAGCCGACGACGGAGGUGUUCCCUGUCCCCGAGCUGGAGCCGACGACGGAGGUGUUCCCUGUCCCCGAGCCGACGGCGACAACCGCGGAGGUGUUCCGUGUCCCCGAGCCGACGGCGACAACCGCGGAGGUGUUCAGUGUCCCCGAGCCGACGGCGACAACCGCGGAGGUGUUCAGUGUCCCCGAGCUGCCGCCGCCGACCCCGGAGGUUUCCCGUGUCCCCGAGCCUGCCAUUCUAGAGACGUUCUGUGCCCUGCAGUCGCCGCUCCGGAGCCGGCUUGGUGACCGCCCGCCGGGCCGACCCCCAGAGGCUCCCCGCUCGUCUGGCCACCCGCCGGGCCGCCCGCCAGAGUUUCCCGGGUGGUCCGACCAACGUCUCUGGUUUCCCUGCCCCCCCACCCCUUGUUUUGCUCUAGUGUGAGCCACCUGGAAGUCGGUCCUUGAGGGGGGGGUACUGUCACGGUGUGGUUUCACUUCCUGUUGUAUUUUGUAGUUUUCUGCCACUCGUGUCCCCGGGUAACUUCACUUCCUGCCUUGUCCCGUCAUCCCCUGUGAUCGUCUAAUAGUUUCCACCUGUGUCCAAUCACCUGCACCUCCCUUGUGUAUUUAAGCCAUGUAUCUCCUGUGUCACUUGUCGCGUCAUUGUCUUUAGCCACGCAUGUCCUUGUCUUUUGUCACACAUGUUGCCUGCUGCUUUUCCUCCCGGUUCCUGUGUUUUUGACCAUUGACUAUUAAAGUCCUUUGUGUUCCUUUUGAAGUCUGCGUUCUGAGUCCUGCCUCCCACCCGC
Gasterosteus aculeatus aculeatus (three-spined stickleback) is the source of this 896-nucleotide long non-coding RNA. The record is from Ensembl. Lineage: Eukaryota; Metazoa; Chordata; Actinopteri; Perciformes; Gasterosteidae.